UCAGAGUCAAAUGGCUCUUGACUGUAAAGUUAAAUUUAUUGUGACUCUAUCUUAAACCGUUCAUUCAAUCUUGGGAUAUGCACUGAAAAUCCACUGUGAAAGUCUGGUGCUAAUUAUUGUUUUUAUUAUGUAUCAUUAUGUUGCAGUCAAUUGCCAAAUAAUAAUUCGAGUCAUUUUUUUGGUAGGUAUUGCAACUUGUUUGUUUAUAUAGGCAGGACAAGAUACAUGUUGCUCACUCUGAUCAAAUUUCUUGUUGAUUUAAUGCAUUUAUGUAAUGUAUAUGAGACGUUUUGACAUUUUAUGAAAAACGUUUAUUUCAGCUACAAAUGGUGUUGUGCUGGCUGCUGAAAAGAAACAAAAAUCAGUUCUUUAUGAUGAUUCCACCAUUCACAAGGUUGAAAUGAUCACGAAAAAUGCUGGUUUAGUAUAUAGUGGAAUGGGUCCAGACUGCAGGUUAUUGGUGCGACGUGCAAGAAAAAUUGCCCAACAAUAUUUCUUAGUUUAUCGUGAACCAAUUCCAACGUCACAACUGGUUCAUAGAAUUGCUUCAGUGAUGCAGCAAAACCCAAUGUCAAUUAUUACUCAUGAUAAUAAUAACUAUAUGUCUCCUUUUUUUC
This is a long non-coding RNA of Xenia sp. Carnegie-2017, 617 nucleotides long. RefSeq lists it as uncharacterized. Lineage: Eukaryota; Metazoa; Cnidaria; Anthozoa; Malacalcyonacea; Xeniidae. The transcript has 3 exons. The record is from RefSeq and is a predicted model, not a curated record.